Molecule: long non-coding RNA, 1727 nt
Organism: Gossypium raimondii (Peruvian cotton)
Lineage: Eukaryota; Viridiplantae; Streptophyta; Magnoliopsida; Malvales; Malvaceae
Exons: 2
Source: RefSeq, a predicted model, not a curated record
UUCCCUGAAGUCAGGAGUUUAAAGACAUCAGACAGCAGUUGCACAAAAAGGAAUUUAUGUUGUGCUUAAGCAGAACUUAUGGAUUUUCAUUUUAAGCACUUAUAUUAAUGUACUUAGUUUAGCCAUCAUGAAAUGAAGAGAAUAAGAUACACCUGAGACCAUGAAGAUGGGUGGCUACUACAUUAGAAAAUCUUUAAAGGAAAAAUGAUACCGAGUUCUGACACUCAGCUAUGUGGCUGUCACCACCUAGUUUCAACAGUAGUCUAAGGAGCCUAUAUUUUAGCCUCUGUUUUAGGUUUAUAAUCUAUCUGUUUUAUAUCUAUAUAUAACUCUGCGAGGGAUUCUAAUGACUAAUGCCUUAGUUCGUGUUGGGCAAGUCAGCUGAUUAUCAUAUUCAGCUAUGCUGAUCCAAUCUAGUGAUGAUUUUCAUGCCUCCAGGAUUGCUUUGUGAAUGAAAGAAGUCGGAAUACCAAUUCUGAAAUCCUUGAAAGGCUCAAUAUUACUUUGCUGAAACUUAUGCUGCAUCCAUCCUAGAAACUGCAGCAACAACAGUAAGAGGUGAACUUAGCAGGACUUCAAACAUUUAUGCUACUGAUGCUGCCACCAUUGCGAGGACUAGGGACGUACUUAAAGGUUUCUACCUCAAAUAGCUAAAAUAGCUCAAACAAUCUUAUAUGUUAGGAACUGCAAUUGUUGAUUUCACAGCUUAGUUCAGUUGAAGCUUGGUGAAAUCUGCAACAUUGUUCAACUCAACUGUUUGCAGAUUAUAAUUGAUAAUCAUGCAUUUUCAUAAAUUUUGUUCAUGGAAUUUCGUUAACACCAUGUUCCUUGUUCUUCUUAAUUAGAAAUCGUUAUAUUUUAGACCUUGAUUAAAAUGAGAACAUGGGCUACGUAGGACAGAGGCAAGUUUCACUUUAUAAUCUUGAUUUCCCUGCUUUACUUAUUGCGAAUGAUCAUGGUAAUACGUCUCUAUAUCUUGCAAUGUUACAGGCUGGUUACAGAUUAUUAGACACAAAUCUUAUGCAUGAUAUCAGGGUUAAUUCUAGGGAAAUGAUAGGGAAUUUUCUGAUUAAUUUCUUUUCUCUUUUAAGCCAUGUAAAUGUGUAUAUAUAGCCUUACUUUUGAGAUGAAUAGAUAACAAUUUCAUCAAGUCUCUUUUAUAUUUUACAUGGUUCCCUAAAUUGAAAAAAACUGAACUCCACCAUGCAGUAAUGUCAUCGUAGUCGUUAUCAUACACAUGGUUGGUGAUACUUAUAAUGAAUUUGCACUUGAUGCAGGCAUGAUAACGAGGCCAUUUUAGCAAUUGAAGAUUGGUACUAACAUGCUCUCUUGUUCUUGCAUUGAUAUUUUUGGAUUAAGAAACUUGCCAAUAUGACAGGGUUGCCGACACUGAUACUUCAGUAUACCCCAAAGCAUCUAAGAGUCUAAGAUGUUAGAGUGAGCCGAGGAGGAAGAUAUGGUUCGCAUCAAGACAAAAGCCACCCCAAAUUGUCUUCAACUUGAAUCCUAGAGCCCCCCAAAUUUGGAUGUGAGGGCAACUUUUUGUCAUGUGCCUCUGCAUAUAAUCAUGAUCCAUUGUGUUGAAUACUUAUCUUCAGUCAUAUCCUAUCAUUACCUAACAGUGAAAGUGCAGGGCCGUAUUACUUACAUUACAUGUAUAUUUGAUGACAGCUAACAUUGUUGUUAACAGUCUUUGUGAAUGAAACUUUAAACACAAGUUUCUCUUA